UACGGAGGGGGCUAGCGUUGUUCGGAAUUACUGGGCGUAAAGCGCACGUAGGCGGAACAGAAAGUCAGAGGUGAAAUCCCAGGGCUCAACCUUGGAACUGCCUUUGAAACUCCUGUUCUUGAGGUCGAGAGAGGUGAGUGGAAUUCCGAGUGUAGAGGUGAAAUUCGUAGAUAUUCGGAGGAACACCAGUGGCGAAGGCGGCUCACUGGCUCGAUACUGACGCUGAGGUGCGAAAGCGUGGGGAGCAAAC
This 250-nucleotide ribosomal RNA is filed under the name uncultured bacterium. RNAcentral's name for it is "partial 16S ribosomal RNA". It matches the Rfam family "Bacterial small subunit ribosomal RNA", at positions 524 to 773 of the family's 1533-position model. RNAcentral also lists the same sequence under 1 other name. The record is from RNAcentral.